This 236-nucleotide ribosomal RNA is filed under the name uncultured bacterium. RNAcentral's name for it is "partial 16S ribosomal RNA". It matches the Rfam family "Bacterial small subunit ribosomal RNA", at positions 96 to 334 of the family's 1533-position model. The record is from RNAcentral.
UGGCGGACGGGUGAGUAAUGUCUGGGAAACUAGCCUGAUGGAGGGGGAUAACUACUGGAAACGGUAGCUAAUACCGCAUAACGUCGCAAGACCAAAGAGGGGGACCUUCGGGCCUCUUGCCAUCGGAUGUGCCCAGAUGGGAUUAGCUAGUAGGUGGGGUAACGGCUCACCUAGGCGACGAUCCCUAGCUGGUCUGAGAGGAUGACCAGCCACACUGGAACUGAGACACGGUCCAG